RNAcentral lists this ribosomal RNA (700 nucleotides) under human gut metagenome. RNAcentral describes it as "bacterial SSU rRNA". It matches the Rfam family "Bacterial small subunit ribosomal RNA", at positions 8 to 706 of the family's 1533-position model. The record is from RNAcentral.
AGAGUUUGAUCCUGGCUCAGGAUGAACGCUGGCGGCGUGCUUAAUACAUGCAAGUCGAACGAAGCACCUUGGACAGAAUCCUUCGGGAGGAAGACCAUUGUGACUGAGUGGCGGACGGGUGAGUAACGCGUGGGUAACCUGCCUUGUACAGGGGGAUAACAGUUGGAAACGACUGCUAAUACCGCAUAAGCGCACAGUACCGCAUGGUACGGUGUGAAAAACUCCGGUGGUACAAGAUGGACCCGCGUCUGAUUAGCUGGUUGGUGAGGUAACGGCCCACCAAGGCGACGAUCAGUAGCCGACUUGAGAGAGUGAUCGGCCACAUUGGGACUGAGACACGGCCCAAACUCCUACGGGAGGCAGCAGUAGGGAAUAUUGCACAAUGGGGGAAACCCUGAUGCAGCGACGCCGCGUGAAGGAAGAAGUAUUUCGGUAUGUAAACUUCUAUCAGCAAGGAAGAAAAUGACGGUACUUGACUAAGAAGCCCCGGCUAAAUACGUGCCAGCAGCCGCGGUAAUACGUAUGGGGCAAGCGUUAUCCGGAUUUACUGGGUGUAAAGGGAGCGUAGGCGGCAUGGCAAGUCAGAAGUGAAAGCCUGGGGCUCAACCCCGGAAUUGCUUUUGAAACUGUCAGGCUAGAGUGUCGGAGGGGUAAGCGGAAUUCCUAGUGUAGCGGUGAAAUGCGUAGAUAUUAGGAGGAA